GUUGUAUUUGGAUUCAAAGAUAAUAAAUUUGAUUUCAAAUAAACCACAGGAUUUUGAAGGUUCUGACAUGCACAUUUUUGUCAUUGACACAUCAGCAAAAUAUUCCACAAUUUAAUCAACAGUUAUACCAAGAAGAACAGGAAAGAUUUUAAGUUAUAAUGGUAGGAACAAAUGGCAUGGUAUUGAACAAUUUUGAUUAAAUAUCUUGACAAACCUCUAGAGAUUAGAAGUUGAUAACCAUGUAAUCAUGCUCUCAAAGAUUAUAAAAAUGGACCUCAUAAAGUUUCUUAAACAAGGUAAGACAUAAAUCAAAUAAUGAAAACAUUUUCAGAUGAAUAGAAUACCAAG
RNAcentral lists this unclassified non-coding RNA (348 nucleotides) under Hevea brasiliensis (rubber tree). Lineage: Eukaryota; Viridiplantae; Streptophyta; Magnoliopsida; Malpighiales; Euphorbiaceae. The record is from RNAcentral.